Brienomyrus brachyistius is the source of this 1483-nucleotide long non-coding RNA. RefSeq lists it as uncharacterized. NCBI's taxonomy places the organism in Eukaryota, Metazoa, Chordata, Actinopteri, Osteoglossiformes, Mormyridae. The transcript is spliced from 4 exons. The record is from RefSeq and is a predicted model, not a curated record.
GGAGAUGUUCCAGCCAAUGUCAACAGGGCAACCAGGACAUACUGCAUGUAAUGCAUCGCGGCUCCUGAUUGGAGGUGAUGACAUCUGGAUUGUCACAGAGGCUGGAAGUGAGGCUGCGUAGACGCUGCCAUCCCAGCAGCAGUGGACGUUCGUACAGCAUUUCACUGGCCUGGGAACAGGUCACACCUCAAAGCUGAUUACUGAAUGGGAAUCGCUAUCGCAUCAUGAAAAAGCAGAAGUGAAACCAUCACCUCGUAUGCCAGGAUGUGGAGAAUCACCACACAUCAAAGAUAGAGCCGCCAUCUGGCUGGACAGGAGGAAGGGCUGCGCGUGUUUGUGUGAGGACGCCACGGGCAGCGCUGGGCUGCUCGCGCCCACAUAGGCCGCCCAUUAGAGACCACUCUCCCCGACCCAUAUGGCGGCAUCAACAAACAUGCACCGUCAGCACGGAAACCGGGCCCACACCAAGGUUGCGGCAAACCUAGUUAUUUUCAGUUAAGAACUUCAUGACGAACACUUGCUACUAGGAUGUCAGAGCACAUCUACUGCAGUGGACUGGAUCUAUACACCAAAGCAAAGUGCCAUUAAGAAUUCUUGUACCGAUAGUUUGUUGGCCUCCUUUAAUUUUAAUUUACUUCCUAAAGAUAACAUGCUACAGAAUGGUAAAUGUAGGAGACAUGUUCAAGCGUACCAUGCUGCGGCUAUCUAAAAGUUCGCCUUAACUGUUCUAGGUGUCAGACAGCAUGACAAAAUUAUCUCUUGUGAUUCCGCCUCCUUCCUUCAGGAGACAUGAAACUGGGAGAACUGUAUCUGAUAGGAGGCCAAGGAUUUAACAACGAGCUUUUCUGUUGUCAUAACUACCUCAUGAAACUGCUUCCUGUACCUCAACAUAUAUGUGUGUGUGUGUGUAUAUACAGUACUGUGCAAAAGUCUUAGGCAGUAAAUAAGGAAAUAUUUAAAGCUCUUUAUCUAAGCAGUAAGUGUAUAUGUGCUUAGAACAAAAAAUACAAUUUAACAUUAAAUCAUACGAAAAUGAGGAGCGACACAACAAAAAAUAACAAGAAUUUCCUCCAUUCUCCAAAAAGUUCCUGAUAUCUUUUUGGACGGUUAGAUGGACGCUGCUUCAGUUCCCAAGCCUCUCCUCAGGGGCACCCCAGCCCUUCCAUGCAUGCCUUACAUUUCACAUCCCGCUCAAUUAAUUACUCAAUUUAAUUAGUUUAAGAAAGUCAGUGAAGUAUUGAUUAACUAUAUUAGAUGGGGUACUGGGCGAAUCAAAAAGCACGUGUGUGCAUUGGAGGGUGUUGUGGAUGGUGGGGGGACUUCAGGUGAGGUUCUGAAGUGGCUAAGCUGACGCACUUCGGCAGGCAUGACAUCAUAGUUUUACACCAACAUGGAGAUCGUUUGAGCAUCGUUUUCCUAGGAUGCCUGAGACGUUUGCACAAUACCAUAUAUGCAUAUAUAGCCAAAGUAUUGUACAGGGAUU